GAGGGUAUAGACCAGUGGUAGAGCGCGUACUUAGCACGCAUGACAUUCUGGGUUCAAUCCCCAGUACCCCCA
RNAcentral lists this transfer RNA (72 nucleotides) under Camelus bactrianus (Bactrian camel). It matches the Rfam family "tRNA". Rfam says of the family: Transfer RNA (tRNA) molecules are approximately 80 nucleotides in length. Lineage: Eukaryota; Metazoa; Chordata; Mammalia; Artiodactyla; Camelidae. RNAcentral also lists the same sequence under 1 other name. The record is from Rfam by way of RNAcentral.